This 362-nucleotide ribosomal RNA is filed under the name uncultured bacterium. Its description in RNAcentral is "bacterial SSU rRNA". It matches the Rfam family "Bacterial small subunit ribosomal RNA", at positions 28 to 390 of the family's 1533-position model. The record is from RNAcentral.
GUUGAACGCUGGCGGAAUGCUUUACACAUGCAAGUCGAGCGGCAGCGCGGGGCAACCUGGCGGCGAGCGGCGAACGGGUGAGUAAUGCAUCGGAACAUGUCCAAGUCGUGGGGGAUAGCCCGGCGAAAGCCGGAUUAAUACCGCAUACGCUCGAGAAGGGGAAAGUGGGGGACCGCAAGGCCUCACGCGAUUGGGUUGGCCGAUGUCCGAUUAGCUAGUUGGCGGGGUAAGAGCCCACCAAGGCGAUGAUCGGUAGCUGGUCUGAGAGGAUGAUCAGCCACACUGGGACUGAGACACGGCCCAGACUCCUACGGGAGGCAGCAGUGGGGUAAUUUUGGACAAGUGGGGGCAACCCUGAUCCA